This 402-nucleotide ribosomal RNA is filed under the name uncultured bacterium. RNAcentral describes it as "bacterial SSU rRNA". It matches the Rfam family "Bacterial small subunit ribosomal RNA", at positions 355 to 774 of the family's 1533-position model. The record is from RNAcentral.
UGGGGAAUCUUGCACAAUGGGGGCAACCCUGAUGCAGCGACGCCGCGUGAGCGAUGAAGCCCUUCGGGGCGUAAAGCUCUUUCGACCGGAACGAUAAUGACGGUACCGGGAGAAGAAGCUGCGGCUAACUACGUGCCAGCAGCCGCGGUAAUACGUAGGCAGCAAGCGUUGUUCGGAGUUACUGGGCGUAAAGAGUGCGUAGGCGGUUUUCUAAGUUCGGUGUGAAAUCUCCCGGCUAAACUGGGAGGGUGCGCCGAAGACUGGGAAGCUGGAGUGUGGGAAAGGCAGGCGGAAUUCCUGGUGUAGCGGUGAAAUGCGUAGAUAUCAGGAGGAACACCGGCGGUGUAGACGGCUUGCUAGACCAUAACUGACGCUGAGGCACGAAAGCGUGGGUAGCAAACA